Fukomys damarensis (Damara mole-rat) is the source of this 2574-nucleotide long non-coding RNA. RefSeq lists it as uncharacterized. The record is from RefSeq and is a predicted model, not a curated record. The transcript is spliced from 3 exons. Lineage: Eukaryota; Metazoa; Chordata; Mammalia; Rodentia; Bathyergidae.
AAAAAAAAAAGUCUCACUAAGUUGCUCAGGCUGGGUUCAAACCUGUGAUCCUCUCACCUCCCAUAGUGCUAGAGAUCACAAGUGUGUCACCAUGCCCAGCUGACCCUGGAUGUUUUGGGUCCACCUUUUCUCUUUUCUACUCCCCUGCUCUUUGUGGCCCCCAUCACCACAGCAUCUAGGAGCUCAAACCAACUCAUUACAUUUCCAACAGCCCUGUGCGAGAAGACACCUUCCUUCCGGAAGCCUUAGCUCUGAAGCUGAGCUUGGAGGAGGAGCAGACUCCUUGUUGGAUGGAAUCUGGAGAUUUAUGCAAAGAAGAGAAACAAGCACCAAACGUGUAUCAAAUGCCCACAGGGUGAAAUGUCUUACAGCUGCCUGGAGACUCAGCUAAUCCUUCCCCCCCAUCCUAACCCUUGGAGCCACCGAGGCAGCAAUGGCAAAACUUUAGAGCUUUUUCGGUGAUAACAAACGGCCCGCCGUGGCACGCGUGCCUUGGUUCAGCACCACUGCUCUAAGGCAGUAGCGGUCUUCACCUAUAGGACUAGCCCUGGAACAUUCGAUGAUACCAGUCAGGGUUUGUCCUCCCCAGCUCUGUCCAGAAAAAUACUAGGUCACCCCCGGGACGGACCGGUCUCAUUUCAUGCUACCCCAGGAGCAAGCCAAGGGCACAGAUGGAAGUCAGCGCUACAGAGAUGCGUUAAGGGGAGGAAGCAGGACUCUAUGCUAAACCAAGAGGCAAAGUCUUGUGUCUCACAGCAGCCAGCCCCAGUGGGUCAGGACUCGCCAAAGAAUCCAGGGGCAUCCGAAGAGAGCUGGGAUUCUCGGUUCCACUUGCCAUUCUGCCACCACUCCGAGAGCAAGGUAGCCUAGAGACAGCGGGCUCAUCUGAGUUCCUCGGCCUGCCUCGGAGAGUAGGUGCCUGAAACACGUUAACUCAACAGUUAAAAUCAGAGGGUCUCACUAUGUAGUUCAGGCUGUCCUUGAACUACGUAGCCCAGCCUCAUUUUGAACUCAUGAUCAUCCUCCUGCCUCAGCCUCCCAAGUGCUGGUAUUAAAGGUGUGUGCUAUCAUGCCCGGCAUUUUGUUUGUUUGUUUGUUUGUUUUUACAUUAUGUACAAAUCACCUACGGUUUUAUUUGCCUGCUUUUUCAUAUGAAUAUCCCCAGAUCCAAAGGCUGUUUGCCAAAUAGGCCCCAGGAAGGCACUGGGGUACUAGUAAAAAGAGAGUUUCGGAACUACAAGGAAAGAGUGGUUGCCAAAGACAGCUCUGGACAUCACUGUCAGCCACUUGUUCCCUGGAGUCAUCCGGCCUCCCCAGAAGGAAGCGCGCUGGCCUUCCGGCCGAGUGUCACCCUGCCUACCAGACCCAGCCCUCCUCUGUGUGGCUUCGUCCUGGCAACAACGCACCAGUGGAAGGAGACGUGGCAGCCUGCAGAGCCGCUGGCUGGAAAUGCCUUUCAGGAGCUGUUUCUCUCGCUGCUCAAACCAGCCCAGACCGUCUGGCUCCCUUUCUAGAAGUUCGCCGAACAUGAGCGUCUCUUCUUCUUUACGCACUGUCCCACUGGGGCUCACAGCCCGGGACCUGCUGAGGGCUGUCUCCAGCUGGAGACUCGAAGCGUUGCCGAGUGCAGCCACGCACAGGCUGCAGGGUCCCAGCGCCGCCUGGUCCGCCUGUCCUCCGGCCCUAGGUCCUCCUGCCCAGCACCAUCAUCUGGGCUAAGUGGUCCCGUCCCCGGGCCGUUUCUCUCUCAGGGCUCACACACAUCUCUCCUCAGGGUCCAUUUCCCUAUGUACCAGGCGGUGCUGGGUGUCUUUCCUACUCGAUGCAAGCCUGUGAUGUGUGUGAUAAAGUUUUUUGUUUUGUUUUUUGUAUGGGGGAUCGAAGUCAGGUGCGCUUUCGAGGCAGGCAGCAGAACCACGGAGUUAAAUCCCUGGCCCAGCAGAACGUUUUCUGAAAGGUCCUUGCAUCCCUUGCUCAUACAGGCAACAAAAUAAUCCUUAUUUACCGUCAAGUUCAAAAGGUGCAAAGAUGUAAAAGACCAAGGCCAGGGUGAAGACUCCUCCGCCUCCCGCCCCACUCCUCCCACCCACCUCAGUGCCCUCAGAUGAAACCCAACAAGGGCUCCCCCACAAGCCGACGAAGCUGGGGCCAGAGGGUGUGGAAAGGGCUUAGUAUGCAGUUUAUUCCAGAGCCUCAAGGAGCUGGGGCUUUGCUCUAGACUGGAAGCUUUCAGAAAGCAAGGAUGAUACCAUGAUUCGAACCUUACUUCUCCAGAAAACAAGAGGACAGAAACAAGCCUACAGCUCUCAUUGGAAAAAGAGCAGCCGUCGCUCCUGUGCCCCGUGAUAGGGAAUUCUGGGGGGUCGUCCUUGUGGUUAGGGCGCUUCUUUGGUUUGGACUGUGCUCCUGCAGGAUUACAAAGAAGUCUUGUUUUUGUCGAAAUCCAUCAGUCACGGGUGCUGAUGGUCUGUGAAACUAUGCUUAACGAGAGAGUACCAAAGAAAUGACCACACUCUUUGGAUUUUUGUUUAUUUUCACUUAAUAAUAUGUGUUCUAUACCUUUCUGAGUUCAUA